RNAcentral lists this ribosomal RNA (429 nucleotides) under Bacteroidota bacterium. RNAcentral's name for it is "Bacteroidetes bacterium partial 16S ribosomal RNA". It matches the Rfam family "Bacterial small subunit ribosomal RNA", at positions 355 to 776 of the family's 1533-position model. The record is from RNAcentral. Lineage: Bacteria; Pseudomonadati; Bacteroidota.
UAGGGAAUCUUCCGCAAUGGACGCAAGUCUGACGGAGCAACGCCGCGUGAGUGAAGAAGGACUUCGGUUCGUAAAACUCUGUUGUUAGAGAAGAACAUCGCAUAGAGUAACUGUUCUUCGUGUGACGGUAUCUAACCAGAAAGCCACGGCUAACUACGUGCCAGCAGCCGCGGUAAUACGUAGGUGGCAAGCGUUGUCCGGAUUUAUUGGGCGUAAAGCGAGCGCAGGCGGUCAAUUAAGUCUGAUGUGAAAGCCCCCGGCUCAACCGGGGAGGGUCAGUGGAAUCUGGUUGACUUGAGUGCGGAAGAGGAGAGUGGACUUCGAUGUGUAGCGGUGAAAUGCGUAGAUAUAUGGAGGAACGCCAGUGGCGAAGGCGACUCUAUGGUCUGUAACUGACGCGGAGGCUCGAAAGCGUGGGUAGCAAACAGG